This is a long non-coding RNA of Mercenaria mercenaria, 1754 nucleotides long. RefSeq lists it as uncharacterized. The record is from RefSeq and is a predicted model, not a curated record. NCBI's taxonomy places the organism in Eukaryota, Metazoa, Mollusca, Bivalvia, Venerida, Veneridae. The transcript is spliced from 4 exons.
UAGUCCAAAUUUGAAGCCUGUACCUUCAUAAAUGUGAAAGUAGGUCACUAGGUCAAUAACAAGGUCAAAGUUUUUUUUCGGUACACAAACCUAUGCAUGUGGUCCAAAUUUGAAGGCUGUAGCUACAGAAAUGUGAAAGUAGGUCACUAGGUCAAGAUCAAGGUCAACUCAUGUCAAGGUUCAUCUUGCCAUUCAAAACUAUACAUGUGGUCCAAAUUUGAAUGAUGUAAGUUAUGGACAUGAAGAUUUCCCUAUAUAAAUCUAUAUGAACCAUAUGACCCCUGGGACGGGGUCAUAUUUGACCCUAGAGGGAUAAUUUGAACAAACUUGUUAGAGAACCACUAAAUGAUGCUACAUUACAAAAUAUCAAAGCCAUAGUCUUUGUGGUUUGGACAAGAAGAUUUUCAAAGUUUUUCCCUAUAUAAGUCUAUAUAAACCAUGUGACCCCCGGGGUGGGGGCAUAUUUGACCCCAGGGAAAUAAUCUGAACAAUCUUAGUAGAGGACCACUAGAUUUUGCAACAUACCAAAUAUCAAAGCCCUAGGCCCUAUGGUUUUGGACAAGUAGAUCAGAAACCGUUUCAUUCUUCCUGGCCAAUGUGACCUUGACCUUUGACCUAAUGACCUCAAAAUCAAUAGGGAUCAUCAGCUGGUCAUGGCCAACCUAACUAUCAAUUUUCCUGACACUAGACCCAAGCGUUCUUGAGUUAUUGCCUGGAAACCAUUUUACUGUUCCUGGUCACUGUGACCUUGACCUUUGACCUACUGACCUCAAAAUCAAUAGGGGUCAUCUGCUGGUCAUGACCAACCUCCCUAUCAAUUUUCGUGACCCUAGGCCUAAGUGUUCUUGAGUUAUCAUCCCGAAACCGUUUUACUAUUCAGGGUCACUGUGACCUUGACCUUUAACAUACUGACCUCAAAAUCAAUAGGGGUCAUCUGCUGGUCAUUACCAACCUUCCUAUCACCUUUUAUGAUCCUAGGCCCAAGUGUUCUUGAGUUAUCAUCCCGAAACCGUUUUACUAUUCAGGGUCACUGUGACCUUGACCUUUAACAUACUGACCUCAAAAUCAAUAGGGGUCAUCUACUGGUGAUGACCAACCUCCCUAUCAACUUUCAUGAUCCUAGGCCCAAGCGUUGUUGAGUUAUCAUCCGGAAACGGAUUGGUCUACAUUCCGACCGACCGACCGACCUACCGACCGACCGACAGACAUCUGCAAAACAAUAUACCCCUCCUAGUCCAGUAAAGCUAGAGAAAGGUUGGAACUAAUUGCAAAAGUUUGGUUUUUGAUGCUGCAUGAAAGUACAUACUUAUAGCUAUUUCCAGAAAAAAAUCGCCGUCCGUAGGUGCUAAGGGAUUUUCUCUACGGGCCGUUAAACUUUACGUAAAAAUUUUCAUUGUUACAUAGAAUUCGGAAUUUUUAACGGCGCUAACUGUACACCUUAGUGACGUCAUUGGGUACAUGUCAACAAGUUACAGCCGCCAUUUUUUUAAAACUCGAUGCAACUUUUGGUUUGAAUUGCCAUUUUCCAAAAGAAUUAUCGAGAUGUGAACAAAGUUCAGACUCUAGUUUCAUGGUAUGUGCCUACAGGAUGGAUUGGUGGUUGGAAACAAGUACAUUCAUGUUGCUGAAGAUCUUUUCAAGUUUGAUUACAAUGUAGACCUAUGGUGUGUGAAUGAAUUCCAGUUCACUGACAGUGUUUGUUUGGACCCUGCUAUUUAUAUCAUCUGGAUUUGUUCAGUUGUUCUAUGUUGAUC